Molecule: ribosomal RNA, 402 nt
Filed under: uncultured bacterium
Lineage: Bacteria
Description: bacterial SSU rRNA
Rfam family: Bacterial small subunit ribosomal RNA
Source: RNAcentral
UGGGGAAUCUUGCACAAUGGGGGAAACCCUGAUGCAGCGACGCCGCGUGAACGAUGAAGCCCUUCGGGGUGUAAAGUUCUUUCGACAGGAACGAUAAUGACGGUACCUGGAGAAGAAGCUGCGGCUAACUACGUGCCAGCAGCCGCGGUAAUACGUAGGCAGCGAGCGUUGUUCGGAGUUAAUGGGCGUAAAGAGUGCGUAGGCGGCGAGCCAAGUUUGGUGUAAAAUCUCCCGGCAUAACCGGGAGGGUGCGCCGAAAACUGGUUGGCUGGAGAAUGGGAGAGGAAAGCCGAAUUCCUGGUGUAGCGGUGAAAUGCGUAGAUAUCAGGAGGAACACCUGCGGUGUAGACAGCUUUCUGGACCAAAACUGACGCUGAGGCACGAAAGCGUGGGUAGCAAACA